Long non-coding RNA from Homo sapiens (human), 7227 nucleotides. RefSeq lists it as uncharacterized. The transcript has 2 exons. NCBI's taxonomy places the organism in Eukaryota, Metazoa, Chordata, Mammalia, Primates, Hominidae. The record is from RefSeq and is a predicted model, not a curated record.
CUUCAAUCUGAAAUAUAUUUAACCAACAGUAAGAAAACUACCAUUAAAAUGAAAAGAAUUGGUCACUAUUAUUACAAUAAUUUUAAGAUAAAAGCAUACAUCCUAAUGAAGUGAAGAUUAAGUAAAACAAGCAUUGUACAGUAAUAAAAUUUAUGAAUAUUCAUGAAAAGUGCCAGAUUAAUAGCCUUGAAAAAUAAAGUAUUCUAUCCACAGACCAAACACAAUUCAGGAAAUAAAAGAAUACCAACUCCCCCACCCAUAGAAUUCUGCUUCAUGUUUUAAACUCAGAUUUAACACAUAAUUAUGUCUUACACUCCAUCUAUCUCCGUUCAAUCAUGCCCUUUCUGCAAAAGCUGACAUGUAGCAACUGUACGGAUUUUUUGGUAAUUCUUGGAAGUAGUAGCCAGAGAUCAUUGCUCAAAUGACACUAGAUUUUAUUAUUUUUGGUAAUAAAUUCCCUGGUAGUCUGACUCGUCUUUUAAAUGGUGAAUUUCAAAGGUUAAAGAAAAGGUUUUUUUUACCUGAUAAUUGUUUUCUGUUUUCCAGUUCCAUUAAUCCAGAACGAAUGGGUUUCCUCCCUGCAACCUGUCAAUCAAACAGAGGUGGCCAAUCACCACUCUGAAUUUUUUGCUCUCAGUGCUUCUUCAGACUAUGUUCCAGUUGAAAACUUCUUUAGCAGUGUUCUGAAAGAGGUAAAAAUUCUACCCUAUCUAAAGCACAUCUAGGGACUGAAUUUCAGAAACAACUAAAAUAGGGAGUUGACUCCCUAACAAAUAACAACUAAGGAUGAUUUUCAACAAAUGCUGUUGGAUUUCUGGAUUAGCAGAAUCGGAACACACACACAUUAUCAGUUGAAUUCACAGAUGUGACACCCGCAGAUAAGGAAGGCCUGCUGUACAUGAAUUCUUCCUGUGUCUCUUCUGCAAAAAAACCUGCCAUAGCCAUCUGUACUGUCAUGGAUAACCUAGGGCUUACCUAUACCACACAUCUCAUUCUCCUUACAAUUUAGUUUUAAUAUAAGAAGAAGCUGCAUUCGACUAUGUUGCCACCUAAAUUUUCUUAUCAAAAACUCCUCAUCCAACCAUCCUUUUCUUACCUGUGAUGCCUAAGCUCAAAUACGGCUGUUUUUGAGUGUGUAAGGUAAAUAAAGGAGGACCUGCCUCACAACUGAUGAUUGCCUUCUCUGUAGUAACUUGUCAACUUACAUUCAUCACUAUUCAAUAAGAUAACAGUUUGUGAUUUUUCAGUACCCUGCUUUAUCAAAUUCCAUCAAGAAAAAACAUGUUAUCAUUUUCACCAAUUUGUUAUAAAAUACUUACACUCCUCUAUAUUCCAUAGGUCCAAUAACAUUAUUCACUGCAAAGUAAUUUAUUAACUCACAAUUUCCUCAUAAUUUCAUUGACAUAGCUUCUCAAAAAAUAAUAGAAACUGAGAAUGUUCACAUUUAAAAUGUCUUUCUAAAAUUUUAAAUUUGAUUCCUAUAAUAGCCUUUGCCACUUUUAGAUAUAACCACAAAAGCAACUUAAAUAUCCUAAAAUUAGCUGUUAAAAAUUUUUUUCUAAGUAAAAGUGCAUUAAAAUAGGAAGUUAUUUUAAAUAAGUAUGUUUGGUAUUCUCUGGCAACUAAAGGCUACUUAGCUUAGUAUUACAGAUAUUUUUCUAUGAAUUCUGAAAUUUAUACAAGGAAACUACUAGUAAGAAUGAAACUAACCUAUUUAGUAUUACUUGUUCAGAGUAAGUUGUACAAGAUACAUUUUAUUUGUUACAAUUCUGUAGUGACAUGGUAAAUACCCACAAAACUUGAGAAAGGGAAGAAUGACUGUCAAUUGGUUUUAACUUAAGCUGAAGCUGCAUUAGACUAUUAUUAUUAUUAUUUUCUUAUUAUUCAUCCACAACUUUCCAGAUUAUGAAAAAAAAAAAGAAAACCAAAAACUAACUUACAAAGAAAUUCUGAAUCAACUAAAAAACUGAAAUCGGUUAGGAUUUAUUUUACCUAAAGCUAAAGUCUUUCUUGAAUUCUGUUUAAAAUAUAUAUAAACAGAUUGACAAAACAGAAGUCAAGACAUCUCUUCUCUGACAGUUUCCAAAAAGAAUACAAACUAUUGUGAUGGUUGUAAAUCUCACAAAUAACUGUAUAGAAGGAGGCAGACGCCAUAGCCAAAUUCUCUUCAUAUAUUCCUAAAUGUCAUUUGAUGAUUACCCAAAGAAAAAAAGCUUUGCAUAUUCUCUAAUCCAUUCAGGAUAUGUCAACCACCCAAAUUAUUUCUUAAUGUUCAGUGUUCCAUAAAAACAAGUCACAGUAGAAAUCAGUAGCACAAUUUUUCCAGAGGUCUAUCCACAAUGCCUUAACCAUGAUUUAUUUUUGGUAUUAAACAUUUUUCCUUUAUUUUUUAGACCUGUUUCAUCCUUGAGUCUAUAAAGUAAUUAUAGUAUCUUCCGAAGAUUUUUUUUUUCUUUUCUUGAGACAGGGUAUCACUGUGUCACCCACGCUGGAGGGCAGUGGCAUGGGGCACAGCUUAUUGCAGCUUCAACCUCCCUGGGCUCAGGCGAUCCUCUCACCUCAGCCUUCGGGGUAAUUGGGACUACAGGCAUGCGCCACUACACCUGGCUAAUUUUUUUUUUUAGUUUUUGUAGAGAUGGGGUUUUCCAUUUUGUCCAGGCUGGUCUCCAACUCAUGGCCUCCCAAAGUACUGGGAUUACAGGCAUGAGCCACCACACCUGGACUCUUCUGAAGUUUUAAUGUGGCCUUUUUAUACUGCAGAUUCUAUGUUCAGAAAGUAUAUACAUACUUGUGCCUGGAAUAAAAAUGUAAAUGCUUUUCUUAAAGAAAACUUUAUUAUAAAGCUCUAAGCAGAACAACCUUUACUACCACUACUAAAGUUCUGAUAAUAGCAAACCAAAACCCUUACAUAGUACUUGAUUCAUGCCAGUUAUUACUCACAGACCACACAAAGUAGAAGCUAUUAUUAGCCCAUUUUACAGAAUGGAAAACAGACUCCCUCAAUACGAUUCUGCCUCACAACAAUCAAAUAAAAACCAUUAUGGUUUGGGAAAGGGACAUUCCAGCUCCCGCUUUAUGCUCAUGCCGCUUUACAACUAUUUAAGAAUAUUAACAAUAUAGUAAGUAUUGCAUUUAAAAAGUUUGUAAAUGCCUCAAAUUUUAAAAAAUGGUAUAAGCAUCAAUAGAAUAAUUCUAUAUGUAAGAAAGAAUGAAGAAUGCUCCUUCAGCCUCUCAGCAACAUAUUCACACCUAACAUUUUAUUCAUCAUAUAACCCUUCACGCCUAACAUAUUUUAUUCAUCAUUAUAACGACCAUAUGAGAUUAAAGCUGUUUUAGAGACUACCACGCAAAGCUUCUAUUUCAUUGAUACUCUACUAAAAAAGGAAAUAGUAACUCUACUACAACUACACACAUUUACUUUAUUACAUGUUCACCCAACCCCAAAAAAUUAUAAUAAUCAAGUGUUGAAACUAUGUUAUCUUCAAUAUAGAAUGGGAAUCCCUACUUCUAAAACAUUUAAUAUGAUAUCUUUUUUUUUUCCCUGAAAGUUGUCUCUAGGUUUUAUACCUUAACUUUCACAUUAAUCAGCACACACUAAAUAAAUGUAUACCUAAGAUAUAUACUUAAAUAAAUCCUAUCCAUCAUUCCUAUUCAUCUCUGAAUUUGAGACCAACAAUAAUGAAAACUAGUACUUAAACUAUGAUGGAAAUCAUGGUAAUUUUGGGGCAUUUUACAACGUAGUUAGUGUCUCAAAUCAUCUUUGCAACAAGAAAUGAUAUUACCACCAAAGAAUGGCACUAUGAAAAGCAUUUAUAUAAUUUUGUAACCUAUGUGAUUUCUACUUUUCUGUGUUUUGGAAAACUAAGCUCUAAGAAUGAAAUAAAGCUUAGUUCUUAAAUACAAUGUACUGCUAUUUCUAGUUCAAAAUCACAGAUUUUCAGAUUGAAAAAAUUUCAAUCCACUUAUUUUUCAAAUGAGAUAACUGGGACAAAGAGAAAUUCCAUGACUUGCCCAAGAUUACCUACAGUUUAACUGUCAGCGGGGCUUAAAACCACAAUCCACAUCUCCUGACUCCCAAUCCUUUCACUUAAAACAAACAAGCAAACAAACAAAAAAGAUUUCUAAUAAAGUGGAAUAAUUUUAAGAAAGGCAAGUAUCACUAUUUUACAAGGAAAAAAUUAAAUCAUUUUAACAGAUUGGCAAAACAUGAACUAGUUCUUGGGGGGAAAAAAGAGAAGUCUUACAAGAAAAAAUGUAAUCAAGAGAGUGCCAAAUUCGGUAAAAUGCUUGAAAAUUCUGCCUCUAGAUCUCGUAAAUAUGCAAUCAUCAUUAAGUGACAACUAGAAAGCAGACUUAAUAAACUAACUAGAUUCACUAUUCAAACUAAGAAAUAAACAAAUGACAAAGCUUUCCUUUCGUCCAAAAAAAGUUUUUUAUUCUACAGUUUAAGAAUUCUGAUACUUGGAAAAAGUGCCCCUUUUCUUUAAAAUAAAUCUCAUAUUUUAAAAAAUGUAAAAUCUAAUUAAACGUAUACCAUAGUACCAAAAACAACUUUUAGCUUCCUAUCCAAUUCCAUUUACUUUGUUAAAAAUGUUUUAAAUCUUAAGGUAGAUGGUGAUAAUCAGUCAUGUUUUAUACCAGAGACAGAAACAACCAUAAGAUACGACCAUUUCCUUUCUCAAUCACACUUGAAAUGAACGCAUCAAUUUUAACCUGCAAACUUUUAAAACUGCUCUUAAAAUUCUACUUUCCUCUUGAUUAAAAUUCAACCAUUGCGAUUGUAACUAGACUAACUACAGAUGAUCAGUGACUAUUUUUAAAUUCACAUCUACAAAUAUUACACCCCAUUUUAAGCAGCAAUAAUUUGAGGUUUCCUAGAAAUUUCAAUGCGAUGUGAUAUAUGAGUUCUCCCAUUUAAAAUAUUGCUCAGUUUAUUAGUUAAUACAACAAAUCAUUUCCAGGUAGAGUAGAAACUAAUGACUCAACAAGUAAUUUUCAAAUCAAUGUUAAAUAAAUUCAACUCGAUAUACAACAACGUAAAACUUUUUAAGUCAGAAUAAUUAAAAUAGAAAAUACUGUACAAGAGACUUUGCAUGUGCUGACUUAGAUAUUAAACAGCGAGAUCAACUAUUGAACAAAAAAAUCCAGUGUUCCAAAUGUUUUUAGACCUAACUAAAUCUCAACUAAAAAGGUAAAAUAAAGUUAACUCACACACCUAGAUAUACAGUUUGAUGGAUGAGAAAGCACCUCAAAUGGUACCUUGCAUCCAGUAGAUAUAGAGUAAGCAAUAUGCUGAAUGAAUGAAAAGAGAAAACGAGUCAAAGAACUCCAAGUUCUAAUAAGAUUUCUAAACUGUCUGAUGAGUAUGCCAACGUUCCUGUUCUAGUAAGGAGAAAACUCCAAGCAAGAAAAACCACUUCCAUUCAAAAUAGGUGAAUUUUGAGCAUAAUACAUAGAUAGAAAGAAUGCUUACUGUAUCUUAAAUCUGCGAUGCAGACUAGGGAUAGAAAUUCACUUUACUAAUAAUUCCUCCCCCCACCCUCCCCCCAAAAAUUAAAUUAACUCAAAAUCAAAAUUGAUAGCUCAUUUUUACUGAAAAAAAAAACAAAAAAACAAAAUGAUAUUCCUACGAGGAUUAGCCAUUACCAUAAUUUAGCCAGAUAACAUUAAGCUGCUUCAUUUAAAAAAUGUAACAUUACCAAAAGAUUAAGAAAAUGCAGCAUUCCUCAGUGACUUAAGGUUUGUGGGUUUUUAAGAGAUGCACAGAUGUAAAAGCAGAUGCAAAGACGAGUUUUGUAAAACCUGCCCCAUCUUAAAAAUGGAGUAUUAUAAUCUUUGCGAUAAUUUUUUCAAAUAUCAAGGAAGACAUGUAAAUUCACUGAAGACUUCUAUCAAGUAUUUGUAAACCUAAAAAUUAAUUUCAAAUUAGUAAAUCUUGGAGUUUACUUCCAGCUCCAUUCACUUUGGCCAAGAAUUGAAUGAAAGUAACCCAAAUCACUCCUUGAAAAUUAACACACGUUCAGUGUGAAAAUGAAUACACUAAUACACUGUUAAAUCUCCAUUAGAUGUAUUAAACCUCAGUACCCUUGCUUAUUUCAACAGCCUUGAGCGGUUAUCAACAUCUUAUAUUAAACCACAAGAGAUUUAUACACAAAAGUUAGGAAAUACACUACAUACCAAAAAAAGCGCCAUUAUAAUCAUGUCCUGCUUUCACCUCACAAAAGACACUCAUUCUAAGCUCGCUGAAACUUCCUAGUCAUUAGAGAAGUUCUGAUGAAGUAACAUUAGUAAUCAUAACUAUCUCAAAACAGUUACAAAAGCCUCAUAAAAUCAACACACUACAUAAAUUUCAAAGGCUUGGUGGGUCCGGUGCGACUGCUUUAACUGCCCCACACACAUAUUCACACAACGAACCUGUAUCAGUUUAGGAGAAAGUGUUACAGAAAAUAUAGCUCCUUUAAAGUAACUUCCAAUCACAAUACUGAAGUGAUAAAUCCACUUCUGAAAAGCAAUUUUUAAAGAUUCCUAAAAUACUCAUUUUGACAACCCACAAAAUUAAGGUUUUUAAGCUAUUAAACAAAAUAUGUCCCAAUAUAAACACAACUUUCAUAGGCCAAGUUCCAUCCCACAGUAAAUAUGUGGACAAAAAUCAAAACUCUUCAGUGUACUCCAAUAAUAAUUUUUAAUUAAACGAGAGGCAUACCAUAAGAAUUAAAAAAAGCCUACUAAACUUCUGGUUUUAGGGAAUUACAGGCUUUACACUUCUGCAAAGAUGUGUUUUAGUAAAUGCAAGACGAAGCACUGACCAACUAUCAUCACACAUCAGAAUCCUUCCAACAAAAAACCCAGGACUGAAUUUAAGGAAAACAAAAUAAACGACAGAGGGGGAAAAAAUAAUGUCUUGCCACGGUACCGCAGCGGCUGGAUAGCCUGCUUGUGAAAUGCUAAUGCCACUUCGGAGCAGUUAGUCACCAGCUAUUGUGUAGGGCAGGAGAAAGCCGAGCCGGCCGCGCGUGCAGAGCGAGCAAGCGAACGAGCGAGCGCGCUCUCCCUCUUCGCGCCGCUCCCGCCGCCGCCGACUCUCGCGCGCCCCCGCGCCCGCACGGACGCGCGCGCCGGCCCCUCCUCCUCCGGCCUUGCACUGCACAACACUCAUGACGUAUCUUUAUUUCUAGCACAUUAACAAAAUAUCACAAAUAAAUUGUCCGCAGCCCCUGCGGCCCCGAA